Molecule: ribosomal RNA, 253 nt
Filed under: uncultured bacterium
Lineage: Bacteria
Description: partial 16S ribosomal RNA
Rfam family: Bacterial small subunit ribosomal RNA
Source: RNAcentral
UACGUAGGGGGCAAGCAUUGUCCGGAUUUAUUGGGCGUAAAGAGCGUGUAGGCGGCCAGACAGGUCAGCUGUGAAAACUCGAGGCUCAACCUCGAGACGUCGGUUGAAACCGUCUGGCUAGAGUCCGGAAGAGGAGAGUGGAAUUCCAGGUGUAGCGGUGAAAUGCGUAGAUAUCUGGAGGAACACCGGUGGCGAAGGCGGCAUCCUGGACCAACACUGACGCUGAGGAGCGAAAGCCAGGGGAGCAAACGGG